GAAUCGAUCCCUAACCUAGACCAA
This 24-nucleotide non-coding RNA is filed under the name Arabidopsis thaliana (thale cress). The record is from RNAcentral. Lineage: Eukaryota; Viridiplantae; Streptophyta; Magnoliopsida; Brassicales; Brassicaceae.